Molecule: microRNA, 21 nt
Filed under: Oryza sativa (Asian cultivated rice)
Lineage: Eukaryota; Viridiplantae; Streptophyta; Magnoliopsida; Poales; Poaceae
Also listed under: 1 other name
Description: osa-miR171d-5p
Gene: osa-miR171d-5p
Source: miRBase by way of RNAcentral
UGUUGGCCCGGCUCACUCAGA